UACGAAGGGGGCUAGCGUUGCUCGGAAUUACUGGGCGUAAAGCGCACGUAGGCGGCUUCUUAAGUCAGGGGUGAAAUCCUGGAGCUCAACUCCAGAACUGCCUUUGAUACUGGGAAGCUCGAGUUCGGGAGAGGUGAGUGGAACUGCGAGUGUAGAGGUGAAAUUCGUAGAUAUUAGGAAGAACACCAGUGGCGAAGGCGGCUCACGGGUCCGGUACUGACGCUGAGGUGCGAAAGCGUGGGGAGCAAACAGG
RNAcentral lists this ribosomal RNA (253 nucleotides) under uncultured bacterium. RNAcentral's name for it is "partial 16S ribosomal RNA". It matches the Rfam family "Bacterial small subunit ribosomal RNA", at positions 524 to 776 of the family's 1533-position model. The record is from RNAcentral.